GAUGAACGCUGGCGGCGUGCCUAAUACAUGCAAGUCGAGCGAACAGAUAAGGAGCUUGCUCCUUUGACGUUAGCGGCGGACGGGUGAGUUACACGUGGAUAACCUACCUAUAAGACUGGGAUAACUUCGGGAAACCGGAGCUAAUACCGGAUAACAUAUUGAACCGCAUGGUUCAAUAGUGAAAGGCGGCUUUGCUGUCACUUAUAGAUGGAUCCGCGUCGUAUUAGCUAGUUGGUAAGGUAACGGCUUACCAAGGCAACGAUACGUAGCCGACCUGAGAGGGUGAUCGGCCACACUGGAACUGAGACACGGUCCAGACUCCUACGGGAGGCAGCAGUAGGGAAUCUUCCGCAAUGGGCGAAAGCCUGACGGAGCAACGCCGCGUGAGUGAUGAAGGUCUUCGGAUCGUAAAACUCUGUUAUCAGGGAAGAACAAAUGUGUAAGUAACUGUGCACAUCUUGACGGUACCUGAUCAGAAAGCCACGGCUAACUACGUG
RNAcentral lists this ribosomal RNA (497 nucleotides) under uncultured bacterium. Its description in RNAcentral is "partial 16S ribosomal RNA". It matches the Rfam family "Bacterial small subunit ribosomal RNA", at positions 28 to 507 of the family's 1533-position model. The record is from RNAcentral.